RNAcentral lists this ribosomal RNA (644 nucleotides) under Bacillus sp. (in: firmicutes). Its description in RNAcentral is "bacterial SSU rRNA". It matches the Rfam family "Bacterial small subunit ribosomal RNA", at positions 119 to 748 of the family's 1533-position model. The record is from RNAcentral. Lineage: Bacteria; Bacillati; Bacillota; Bacilli; Caryophanales; Bacillaceae.
GGGUAACCUACCCAUAAGACUGGGAUAACUCCGGGAAACCGGGGCUAAUACCGGAUAAUAUUUUGAACUGCAUAGUUCGAAAUUGAAAGGCGGCUUCGGCUGUCACUUAUGGAUGGACCCGCGUCGCAUUAGCUAGUUGGUGAGGUAACGGCUCACCAAGGCGACGAUGCGUAGCCGACCUGAGAGGGUGAUCGGCCACACUGGGACUGAGACACGGCCCAGACUCCUACGGGAGGCAGCAGUAGGGAAUCUUCCGCAAUGGACGAAAGUCUGACGGAGCAACGCCGCGUGAGUGAUGAAGGCUUUCGGGUCGUAAAACUCUGUUGUUAGGGAAGAACAAGUGCUAGUUGAAUAAGCUGGCACCUUGACGGUACCUAACCAGAAAGCCACGGCUAACUACGUGCCAGCAGCCGCGGUAAUACGUAGGUGGCAAGCGUUAUCCGGAAUUAUUGGGCGUAAAGCGCGCGCAGGUGGUUUCUUAAGUCUGAUGUGAAAGCCCACGGCUCAACCGUGGAGGGUCAUUGGAAACUGGGAGACUUGAGUGCAGAAGAGGAAAGUGGAAUUCCAUGUGUAGCGGUGAAAUGCGUAGAGAUAUGGAGGAACACCAGUGGCGAAGGCGACUUUCUGGUCUGUAACUGACACUG